Molecule: ribosomal RNA, 253 nt
Filed under: uncultured bacterium
Lineage: Bacteria
Description: partial 16S ribosomal RNA
Rfam family: Bacterial small subunit ribosomal RNA
Source: RNAcentral
UACGUAGGGACCGAGCGUUGUCCGGAUUCAUUGGGCGUAAAGAGCUCGUAGGCGGCCACUCAAGUCGAAUGUGAAACCUCGAGGCUUAACCUCGAGCCUGCAUUCGAUACUGGGCGGCUAGAGUCUGGUAGGGGGAUCUGGAAUUCCUGGUGUAGCGGUGGAAUGCGCAGAUAUCAGGAGGAACACCGGUGGCGAAGGCGGGAUCCUGGGCCGGUACUGACGCUGAGGAGCGAAAGCGUGGGGAGCAAACAGG